This 425-nucleotide ribosomal RNA is filed under the name uncultured bacterium. Its description in RNAcentral is "bacterial SSU rRNA". It matches the Rfam family "Bacterial small subunit ribosomal RNA", at positions 356 to 773 of the family's 1533-position model. The record is from RNAcentral.
AGGGAAUUUUCCACAAUGGACGAAAGUCUGAUGGAGCAACGCCGCGUGAACGAUGAAGGCUCUCGGGUCGUAAAGUUCUGUUGUUAGGGACGAACAAGUGCCGUUCGAAUAGGGCGGCACCUUGACGGUACCUAACGAGAAAGCCACGGCUAACUACGUGCCAGCAGCCGCGGUAAUACGUAGGUGGCAAGCGUUGUCCGGAAUUAUUGGGCGUAAAGCGCGCGCAGGCGGUUAUGUAAGUCUGAUGUUAAAGCCCGGGGCUCAACCUCGGUCCGCAUUGGAAACUGUGUAACUUGAGUGCAGAAGAGGAAAGUGGUAUUCCACGUGUAGCGGUGAAAUGCGUAGAGAUGUGGAGGAACACCAGUGGCGAAGGCGACUUUCUGGUCUGUAACUGACGCUGAGGCGCGAAAGCGUGGGGAGCAAAC